GUGGUUGUUAUCUCUUUGGCGAUUCACUCAAUUUGAAGUGCUUCUUAGUCCAAUAUCUCUUAAGGUGGUUGGCCCCUUGCUUCUUAACUCAAAUUCUUCAAGGGAUGGCACCAAUCCUCCUUUCCAAUUCCCUAUAUGGCAACUCACAAACAAGGAAACAAAGAGACAAGCAAUAACCAAAGACAAAAAAAAUGAAAUGAAAGCU
This 205-nucleotide long non-coding RNA is filed under the name Glycine max (soybean). Its description in RNAcentral is "long non-coding RNA (GMAX_LNC002194)". Lineage: Eukaryota; Viridiplantae; Streptophyta; Magnoliopsida; Fabales; Fabaceae. The record is from RNAcentral.